RNAcentral lists this long non-coding RNA (331 nucleotides) under Elaeis guineensis (African oil palm). RNAcentral describes it as "long non-coding RNA (EGUI_LNC071655)". Lineage: Eukaryota; Viridiplantae; Streptophyta; Magnoliopsida; Arecales; Arecaceae. The record is from RNAcentral.
CUUCUCAGAGUUGCAGAAUACUCAAGAUUGAUUUUGGUUUGGAUUCGCAGAUGAGCGGAUGAAUAAAUAAAACAUCAUUGAUAUCGAUUGGAUGAUUGAAGGAAUUGAAUUUGUAAUCACGCAAAUAUCAUCAAUUAUUAUAAAAAUUAGAUCAUUAUUAUUUAUGGAUAUUGAAGUGUUGUAAUAAAUUAUAAGGUCUUGCAUAUUCUUUAGAAUUUUGCCCUAAGGAGUGUGCGGCCAUCGCAUGCCCGACCUAGGUUCGAGGCGUGACACACACAUAAUUUACAUCAAACAUUAACAAUUCAAUGAGACGUACCUCCCUAAUAAUGUU